UACGGAGGGCGCAAGCGUUGUUCGGGCUUACGGGGCGUAAAGCGCGUGUAGGUGGCUUGGAAAGUCGGGUGUGAAAUCCCGGAGCUCAACUCCGGAACUGCAUCCGAUACUGCCAAGCUCGAGUCUCGGAGAGGAUGGCGGAAUUUCCGGUGUAGAGGUGAAAUUCGUAGAUAUCGGAAGGAACACCAGUGGCGAAGGCGGCCGUCUGGACGAUGACUGACACUGAGACGCGAAAGCGUGGGGAGCAAACAGG
RNAcentral lists this ribosomal RNA (253 nucleotides) under uncultured bacterium. Its description in RNAcentral is "partial 16S ribosomal RNA". It matches the Rfam family "Bacterial small subunit ribosomal RNA", at positions 524 to 776 of the family's 1533-position model. The record is from RNAcentral.